ACACAGCUGAGCUCAGAGGCUCCAGUCUGGCCACGAGAAUGCAAUGGGAGAAGACAUUGCGUGACUGUGCAAGUACAAGAACUAAGAGAAACUCAUAAGCACUUGGCAGAGAAGGUUCAAAGUGCACUAAAAGUGACAGACACUGGUUCCUGCAAAGAAAGGCCUGUGCUGUGAAAUACCUAACAGCUCAUCCAGAAUAAGAGUCAAAAUAAGGUUACCAUCUUUUGUCUAAUUUUUACCAAGUUGUUGGCGUCUCACAUGGCCAUUCAUCAGCUCAAUACAAACAAGUCUUCACGGAGGUGGAGUUUCCUCCUCACCUGUUGCUAAACCAGGCAGCGUGGAUUGGCAUAUUCACUGACUUCAUGGCACGAAGGCCUACAAAAGCGGAACAACUUUUCACCAGUGCAAAAAUGUUCCAAAAGAUACUCUCUCUGUCCAAUACACUUGGGAAAGCAGGGGCCAUCUUAAGAGCUUUGGCUCAUUGGCCUGCCACUGUGAAGAUCAGAAGCAAGCCACUGAGUUGAAACCCUCCACAUUCUUUUCUGCCCUGCAGAUGGAAGAUUUGUUUCAUCCCUUCUGCAUUUCCUGGCUGAUGACCUAUAGUGACUUGGGAAGUUAAUUUGACAACUUGUUCACAAACGUAUUGAAUGAAUAGCCAACAACAGAGUUAACUCUCUAACUAAAGUGACUACAGAGCAGGAGGCACUGGCCAGGCAAAGAAAAUCCACUUCAGAGUCAUCCAGUAGGUUACAGGCAGGGGAAUAAAAAAAAAGGAGCCGAGAGGAAAAUUUCCAGAACAUUUCCAUUUAGAAGCACGAUCAGACUUGUUGACUAAGGUAGCGACGUUAUCUAGGGCAUGCAUUUGACAAUCUGGCACAGGUGAUGAAACUGACAAACACACACAAGAAACUAGCACAUUAUCUGUAAAUUGGUUGUGAUUGAAUAUUUCAUGUCAUCAAGGGAAUAGAGGCAAUGAAAGAAAAGCCUUAUUUCUCUGCAAAGAAAAGAAUUUCUGUCAGAAAGGGACUAGGAAAUAAAAGAGAAAAAUGUCUUAAGAGAGAUCACUAUGCAUUUGGUAAAGUACAUGUUGUAAAAGGAAAAGGGAAAAGCAGCUUGAUUCUGAAACUCUAUUCAGUGUAAUUUUGUGUAAGCUAUUCUCUAAGGAGAGAGAUUGAACCCUAAUCAACCAGCAUCUUCUUCCAGAUGGCUCUAAGUGUGCCUUCAUCUGUUUUUUAAGAGAGGGCGAAGAUGAUUUCUUACUAUGAGGAAAGGCACAUGUUGAGAUUCGAUCAAAGGGUUUUGCCAAUACAUAUUUAUAACUUGAAGAGCACUCUCAGAAUGGUUUGUAAGGGUUUUCCCUUUACCCAUUCUCUGCCUGGCAUUUGUUGGUUCAUAAUUGCUGAGAUGUUGGCAUGCUUCAGCAGAAUCCUGGUUCUUGAGUGGCUGAGUGGCUAAGUGGCAAGUCCACAGAUUUUUUUUUUUUUACAGUAGACCCUUAAUCAAUACUUGCUGGAUGAAUGAAAAUAAAGAGAUCACAUUCCC
Homo sapiens (human) is the source of this 1542-nucleotide long non-coding RNA. Ensembl annotates it as long intergenic non-protein coding RNA 393. The record is from Ensembl. NCBI's taxonomy places the organism in Eukaryota, Metazoa, Chordata, Mammalia, Primates, Hominidae.